RNAcentral lists this long non-coding RNA (865 nucleotides) under Homo sapiens (human). Its description in RNAcentral is "long non-coding RNA NONHSAT189604.1". The record is from RNAcentral. Lineage: Eukaryota; Metazoa; Chordata; Mammalia; Primates; Hominidae.
GCGGAGCUUGUUACUGGUUACUUGGCCUCAUGGCGGUCCGAGCUUCGUUCGAGAACAACUGUGAGAUCGGCUGCUUUGCCAAGCUCACCAACACCUACUGUCUGGUAGCGAUCGGAGGCUCAGAGAACUUCUACAGUGUGUUCGAGGGCGAGCUCUCCGAUACCAUCCCCGUGGUGCACGCGUCUAUCGCCGGCUGCCGCAUCAUCGGGCGCAUGUGUGUGGGAGACAGAAGAAAUUCUGGCAGAUGUGCUCAAGGUGGAAGUCUUCAGACAGACAGUGGCCGACCAGGUGCUAGUAGGAAGCUACUGUGUCUUCAGCAAUCAGGGAGGGCUGGUGCAUCCCAAGACUUCAAUUGAAGACCAGGAUGAGCUGUCCUCUCUUCUUCAAGUCCCCCUUGCGGGGACUGUGAACCGAGGCAGUGAGGUGAUUGCUGCUGGGAUGGUGGUGAAUGACUGGUGUGCCUUCUGUGGCCUGGACACAACCAGCACAGAGCUGUCAGUGGUGGAGAGUGUCUUCAAGCUGAAUGAAGCCCAGCCUAGCACCAUUGCCACCAGCAUGCGGGAUUCCCUCAUUGACAGCCUCACCUGAGUCACCUUCCAAGUUGUUCCAUGGGCUCCUGGCUCUGGACUGUGGCCAACCUUCUCCACAUUCCGCCCAAUCUGUACCGGAUGCUGGCAGGGAGGUGGCAGAGAGCUCACUGGGACUGAGGGGCUGGGCACCCAACCCUUUUCCACCUGUGCUUAUCGCCUGGAUCUAUCAUUACUGCAAAAACCUGCUCUGUUGUGCUGGCUGGCAGGCCCUGUGGCUGCUGGCUGAGGGUUCUGCUGUCCUGUGCCACCCCAUUAAAGUGCAGUUCCCUCCGGGC